GAUGAACGCUGGCGGCGUGCCUAAUACAUGCAAGUCGAGCGAACAGACGAGGAGCUUGCUCCUUCGACGUUAGCGGCGGACGGGUGAGUAACACGUAGGUAACCUACCUAUAAGACUGGGAUAACUUCGGGAAACCGGAGCUAAUACCGGAUAAUAUUUCGAACCGCAUGGUUCGAUAGUGAAAGAUGGCUUUGCUAUCACUUAUAGAUGGACCUGCGCCGUAUUAGCUAGUUGGUAAGGUAACGGCUUACCAAGGCAACGAUACGUAGCCGACCUGAGAGGGUGAUCGGCCACACUGGAACUGAGACUCGGUCCAGACUCCUACGGGAGGCAGCAGUAGGGAAUCUUCCGCAAUGGGCGAAAGCCUGACGGAGCAACGCCGCGUGAGUGAUGAAGGUCUUCGGAUCGUAAAACUCUGUUAUUAGGGAAGAACAAACGUGUAAGUAACUGUGCACGUCUUGACGGUACCUAAUCAGAAAGCCACGGCUAACUACGUG
This 497-nucleotide ribosomal RNA is filed under the name uncultured bacterium. RNAcentral describes it as "partial 16S ribosomal RNA". It matches the Rfam family "Bacterial small subunit ribosomal RNA", at positions 28 to 507 of the family's 1533-position model. The record is from RNAcentral.